GAUAAAAUAUUUUAGUCUAUUUUGGAUCAUAUUUGCGUUUACUUUAGAAUAAAAUUUACUUUCAUUUAAAACAGAGAUCCAUUUGUAAGCUUAAAAUCAUCUUAUAAGACCAAACAGUGAUCUAAUCUUUCUAAUUUAUAUUUUUCAAUGUGUAUAUUAGUCUUAAGUGAUAUUAAUAGAUGUAUAAUUAAAAAGGAAAAAGGAUUAAGCUUUUAAAAAUAAAAGAAAUCAAAUCAAUGCGUUUUACAAACACACAAAUAUUUGAUUUAUUUUAAGGAGCUUAAAGGGAUUUCUAACCGACACCGACCCAACUAAUGAAUGUAUGAGAGAAAUGGCUUUAGUGGUGGUAAUAUUAAUUAAUAAUUGAAAAGCAGUGUCAGAGUGAAGACAAAGAGCGCAGUGGAAAAUCAGCAGUUAAAGAUCCGACAGCCAAUAAAAGAUUGACACGCAGCAGAAGAGAAACGACUGCACAGAAGAAGCACUCUUUCUGAGUCCGUCCACAAAAUACCGCCACGUCAAUAUGAAUCUGGAUCGCAUGCGGAUUGUUUGCCGCAAUCAUGUUUUUGCAUCAGCCAAAAUUUGACUUGACCAUGGUUUUUGAUUAUAUAUAAUCAAAACUAUAUUUUAAAAAUUCGAGAUUAUCUUUUAAAGAAAUAAAUAAACUAUAUUUUAGAUGCGUUGCCA
This 684-nucleotide long non-coding RNA is filed under the name Citrus sinensis (sweet orange). RNAcentral's name for it is "long non-coding RNA (CSIN_LNC000337)". Lineage: Eukaryota; Viridiplantae; Streptophyta; Magnoliopsida; Sapindales; Rutaceae. The record is from RNAcentral.